UAUGCUCUCCGACACAACCAAACAAAAAUAAACUGUCGACACAAACAUAUAACAAUAUAGAGAUAAACUGAAACCUUCCCAUACAAAGGAUCAAAAUAAACACCUGACAUGAGAAUAAACCUCAUCACACCAAACUCCACCUCCACCUCCGAAGUCUCCGCAUAGACCAUUUUAGAGUCAAACCCAUACCAUAUACAAAGAGCAGAAAAACCAUUAAGAGCCAUAUAACCAAAAAAGGAAACAUUCCACCCCUGUUGAUUCAAUUCAUCAACGCCCCCGACACCCCUCCAGCUCCUUGUCCCAAAAUGCUUCUCUGGCACAAAAAGAUACACCAAACAAGUCCCCGACAUUACCAUUAUAGUUAGUACCUCA
This 372-nucleotide long non-coding RNA is filed under the name Brassica rapa (field mustard). RNAcentral describes it as "long non-coding RNA (BRAP_LNC001269)". Lineage: Eukaryota; Viridiplantae; Streptophyta; Magnoliopsida; Brassicales; Brassicaceae. The record is from RNAcentral.